This 2217-nucleotide long non-coding RNA is filed under the name Linum usitatissimum (flax). Its description in RNAcentral is "long non-coding RNA (LUSI_LNC006076)". The record is from RNAcentral. Lineage: Eukaryota; Viridiplantae; Streptophyta; Magnoliopsida; Malpighiales; Linaceae.
GUUUGAUCCUUCUUAGCUUCCUGGUCUCUUGGAAGAUUAAGUAUGUCGGUAUGUGGGCGAUAUUGCAUUUUUAUUAGUGUGUCAGGAAAUUGAUUCGUGAUUGUGCUAUGAGGAUUUAGUAGUUUAUAUAGUUCAUUUAUUACGCUCUCUCGUGUAAUCGCCUAAUUAUAUUUAUCGAUUCGUGUACGGAUGAGCAACGUCAUAUCAACUUCGAUUUAUCCCUUCAAGGCAUCGCGUGGCCACAAAACCUGAUAUACAAAAUAACAAAUAAUAUUAUGAUAUAUGAUCGUGUUUGAUAUAUAUGAUAUUGAAUUCAAUAUUACCCAAUAGCUAGUUAUUAGAUAAUAUUGAAUAUCACAUUUGAAUUUUUAAUUCUAUCAAGAACAUAAUUGUAACUCUCUAUUAUAAUUGCACUCACUUUCCUUGUCCAUUCUACUCCAAAAUUACACCCCAAACGACAAUUUCAUAUUUAUCUCCACCGAAUAUCAAUAUUCAACUGUAGUCAAUAUAGCAAACGUCAGGAGGAAUAUGAUGAGCCCACAUGAGAAACAAAAUAAAGGCAACAAUGAACCAAAUUAUCAUCUGAAAUUACUAUUCUGCAAAUAAAUAAAAACGUUACUUAUUCAACCGAAGUGUUAACCUUUCUAACCUCACUCGCUCUAUGCUCUCAAAACGCAGAACCAAACGACACCCUAUUCACAGUAAAUUAAACCACCGACAGCGCCAAACGUCCCAUCCGUUCAACUGUUAGCCAAACCGCCGGCGGCUGCCAAUAAUAUGAACAGUCGCCGUCCACUCCAUUGAAGAUAACCUCCUCCGACCAUCUCCGACCAUCACCCCUGGUUCCCGGUACGACGCAUCUGUCAUCAAACUCCGUUUGCCUAGAUUUGUCUUUCCUAAACAAGCAAUAAGUAAACAAAUCUCCAGAUAUUUUUUCCCUUUUUGUCUUUCCCAAAAGAACAUUUCACUUUCAACCCGUCCUCCUCUUUUCCCCAUUCUACUAUUUUUUUUUAAUUGCACUACGAGUCUCUCAUUAGUAUAUAUAACAGUCUCUCUUCCGUUUCUAUAUGCAUAGUUGAUAGUUCAUCUUCCUCUUUAAUUCAUAACACAUUAUAUGCAACUUGAUUCUUCUGCAGGCCGUAUACACUUAAUAAUCUUAACAACACGGAGAAUUAAGUAAAAAUGGCUUACCAGUAUGAACAUCAUCUUGUGCUGAUGCUCCUUGUUCUGAUCAUAUCCACUUCCGGUUGCCAGUCAUGGGGAUGGUUCUCUUCUUCUUCCGGGGAUGAUUCCGGAAAUGAUGAGUACCGUUUUUCUGGGGCGGCGGUGGCCGAUUUUUCAUUGGAUUUUCCUGCAGAUAAUAAAGGAUUAGUAGAAAAGGCAAGGAACAAGCUAGUUGGUUCCAACACUUGCUGGCAGAAUGCUUACCACCACAUCUUUACCGGAUGCACUCAAAUAAACGCCAACGAAGACAAACGCAAGAGAUUCGCUUGGCAUCUAAGCGAUUGCUUCCAGAAGGAUUCUGGGAGGCAGCCUUUCCCCAACUGCGACGAGAAAUCUGCCAUCUUCCAUUGCCUGAAGAAGUUGGACGAUCAUGAACACAAGGUUUAUCUCGAGUUUUUCACUGAAACCAAUUCCAUCUGCUACCAACUACAGGUGCAUGCAUUCAAACACGAGACGGAGAGGCUGGUGAAUGAGCUUAAAAGUUCAGCGCAAUACACUGAGCAACAACUGGAGACUAUUAAGGACAGAACGGUCACGGUACUGCACAACUCGAAUCAGAUCCACGAUUCGUUGAGUUCGGUGGAUGAUAAAGUUCAGCGCGUGAUUCAGACGAGUAAAGGAGUGGAGGUUCAGAUUGAUACCUUGUCUAAGCAGUCUGACGCUGUUUAUAAACAAUCGGAGGAUAUCAUUAGGUCACAGACGGAACUGCAAGCGGGACAAGAAAAGAUGAAUGAGAAUUUGAAACAAGGGGUGACGAUGCUUCAAGAUGCUUACAGUAAUUUGGGGGAGGAAGUGAGCAACCUGAGGAAUGAGGCUGUUCAGAUAGAGAAGCAGAUUGAUAGAGUUGGGGAAUCGAUGUCUUCAAAGUUUCGGAAUCUGCAGAGCAAAGCUGAUGAUAUCGAAAACAUGGCGGGGAGUUCGUUGAGCAAGCAACAACAACUUCUGGAUGGACAGUCCACAGCGCUUAAAGGUCUCGAUAGCUUGACGGAAUCU